Mus caroli (Ryukyu mouse) is the source of this 663-nucleotide non-coding RNA. The record is from RefSeq and is a predicted model, not a curated record. NCBI's taxonomy places the organism in Eukaryota, Metazoa, Chordata, Mammalia, Rodentia, Muridae.
CCUUUGCUUCCCCUGCUAACCUGCUGAGUCUUCACCUACUCAUCACUGCUCUGACAUUCUGGCAGAAGGAACUUCGGCUCAGAAGGCUGAACUCUUGGCGCUAACCCAAGCCCUGCGGUUGGCUGGGGGCAGAGAAAAAAUUCUGGCCCUCCUAGAGGCUCCUGAAUGAACUGGGUGAGUUGGGGUACCGGGUAUCGGCUAAGAAAGCUCAGCUAUGUCGCACCGAGGUGACCUACCUAGGGUACACCCUCCGGGAAGGAAAGCGGUGGCUCAAGAAAAAGACUGUGAUGCUGAUCCCAACCCCCACCACCCCGCGCCAAGUACGUGAGUGAGUUUCUGGGGACGGUGGGCUUUUGCAGACUCUGGACUAAAGAAAAAGUCCCAUUCACCUGGACUGANNAACANCAAAAAGCCUUUGACAGCAUAAAGGCAGCCCUGCUUGCAGCCCCCGCUCUGGCUUUGCCAGAUCUGACUAAGCCUUUUACCCUAUAUUUUGAACUGGUACACGGAUGGCAGUAGCCUCAUGGUUAAAGGUAAGCGGAAGGCGGGGACAGCAGUGCAGCGGUGAACAAAAAGCAAGUGAUCUAGGCCAGCAGCCUCCCUAAAGAGACUUCAGCCCAGAAAGCUGAAUUUGUGGUUUUGAUACAAGCUUUAUAAAUGACA